RNAcentral lists this ribosomal RNA (253 nucleotides) under uncultured bacterium. RNAcentral's name for it is "partial 16S ribosomal RNA". It matches the Rfam family "Bacterial small subunit ribosomal RNA", at positions 524 to 776 of the family's 1533-position model. The record is from RNAcentral.
UACGUAGGGUCCGAGCGUUGUCCGGAAUUAUUGGGCGUAAAGAGCUCGUAGGCGGUUUGUCGCGUCUGCUGUGAAAUCCCGAGGCUCAACCUCGGGUCUGCAGUGGGUACGGGCAGACUGGAGUGCGGUAGGGGAGAAUGGAAUUCCUGGUGUAGCGGUGGAAUGCGCAGAUAUCAGGAGGAACACCAAUUGCGAAGGCAGCUCGCUGGGACGUAACUGACGCUGAGACGCGAAAGCGUGGGGAGCAAACAGG